GAUGAAGAACGCAGCGAAAUGCGAUAAGUAAUGUGAAUUGCAGAAUUCAGUGAAUCAUCGAAUCUUGAACGCACCUUGCGCUCCUUGGUAUUCCGAGGAGCAUGCCUGUUUGAGUGUCAUUAAAUUCUCAACCCUAUAAGCUUUUCUUUAUAGUGGCUUGGAUGUGGGGGUUUUCUUGCUGGCUUUCAUUAGUCUGCUCCCCUGAAAUGCAUUAGCUGGUGUCUCUUGCCAGUCUAUAUUAGUGUGAUAAUUAUCUACGCUAUUGGACUUGUAAAAGCGCUGCUUCUAACCGUCCUGUUAUUUGGGACAAACUACUACAAUGACAAUUUGACCUCAAAUCAGGUAGGACUACCCGCUGAACUUAAGCAUAUCAAUAAGCGGAGGA
Molecule: unclassified non-coding RNA, 385 nt
Filed under: soil metagenome
Description: partial contains 5.8S ribosomal RNA, internal transcribed spacer 2, and large subunit ribosomal RNA
Rfam family: 5.8S ribosomal RNA (bases 1-119)
Source: RNAcentral